GGAGUAACCUCCCACCAUAGCCUAGACAGAGUAGUAUCGUCGGCAGUGUUGAUCAGCCGCUCGGAGAUUUCACCACGGACCUGACUCCCCACGUACGCACCCGUAAGACCCAGUGAAUCAGGGGGGAGCCCGCGCCGCCGGAAUGCCGGCUGAAGGUGGCAAUAAUUUUGCAGGUAAAUUUUCGUAGGGUACGAAAAAUAUUCUCCGAAUUCCAAUUGUUUGUCCCAUCAGAAUAAGCCCUGCAACCCAGAGGGCCUUCAUCCGCGGUAAUACAUGGGGGGCUAGCGUUUUCGUCCUUCACCAAUAUAAAGGGUGCUCCCUCGGACUGGAGUGUCAGAGGUGAAACUCGUGCCCGUAACUUUGGUCGUGCUCUCACACCAGCAAGUGAUGAGUACGGGAGUGGGGUAAUACCCCGCCAACUACGCAAUCAGGCGCACGCCCAUCCGUUACAACAGCAGUUAUGAUGUCAAUUUCAUGCCACUUUAAUAUGUUAAAAGCUAUUAAUCCUCGGGUAGCAAACAGGUUCACCUACCUUGGUAGUCCACACCAUGAGUUCCGCACCCUAGUUGUUGUUCUCAUCAGGGAUCAGUGACCUAGUUACCCCUUUAAGUUCUCCACCUGGGCCUGCCGCUCGCAAGGUCAAAAUCCAUGGAAUAGAUGG
This 661-nucleotide ribosomal RNA is filed under the name uncultured bacterium. Its description in RNAcentral is "partial 16S ribosomal RNA". The record is from RNAcentral.